CUCCCCCUCUCCGUCCAGCUGCCUUUCAGGAGCUCUGCCCCUUUGGCCACGGGGCAGUCCCAGGCCCGGAUGACUUCCGAGAAGACGUGAAUGAGUGUGCAGAGAACCCUGGCGUCUGCACUAACGGCGUCUGUGUCAACACCGAUGGAUCCUUCCGCUGUGAGUGUCCCUUUGGCUACAGCCUGGACUUCACUGGCAUCAACUGUGUGGACACAGACGAGUGCUCUGUCGGCCACCCCUGUGGGCAAGGCACAUGCACCAAUGUCAUUGGAGGCUUCGAAUGUGCCUGUGCUGACGGCUUUGAGCCUGGCCCCAUGAUGACCUGCGAGGACAUCGACGAAUGCUCCCUGAACCCGCUGCUCUGUGCCUUCCGCUGCCACAAUACUGAAGGCUCCUACCUGUGCACCUGCCCAGCCGGCUACACCCUGCGGGAGGACGGGGCCAUGUGUCGAG
Molecule: small RNA, 453 nt
Filed under: Pongo abelii (Sumatran orangutan)
Lineage: Eukaryota; Metazoa; Chordata; Mammalia; Primates; Hominidae
Description: retained intron
Source: RNAcentral